GACGAGCGCUGGCGGCGUGCUUAACACAUGCAAGUCGAACGGAAAGGCCCUGCUUUGGUGGGGUGCUCGAGUGGCGAACGGGUGAGUAACACGUGAGUAACCUGCCCUUGACUUUGGGAUAACUUCAGGAAACUGGGGCUAAUACCGGAUAGGAGCUCCUGCUGCAUGGUGGGGGUUGGAAAGUUUCGGCGGUUGGGGAUGGACUCGCGGCUUAUCAGCUUGUUGGUGGGGUAGUGGCUUACCAAGGCUUUGACGGGUAGCCGGCCUGAGAGGGUGACCGGCCACAUUGGGACUGAGAUACGGCCCAGACUCCUACGGGAGGCAGCAGUGGGGAAUAUUGCACACUGGGCGGAAGCCUGAUGCAGCAACGCCGCGUGCGGGAUGACGGCCUUCGGGUUGUAAACCGCUUUCGCCUGUGACGAAGCGUGAGUGACGGUAAUGGGUAAAGAAGCACCGGCUAACUACGUG
RNAcentral lists this ribosomal RNA (468 nucleotides) under uncultured bacterium. Its description in RNAcentral is "partial 16S ribosomal RNA". It matches the Rfam family "Bacterial small subunit ribosomal RNA", at positions 28 to 507 of the family's 1533-position model. The record is from RNAcentral.